Molecule: unclassified non-coding RNA, 380 nt
Filed under: soil metagenome
Description: partial contains 5.8S ribosomal RNA, internal transcribed spacer 2, and large subunit ribosomal RNA
Rfam family: 5.8S ribosomal RNA (bases 1-120)
Source: RNAcentral
GAUGAAGAACGUAGUGAAAUGCGAUAAGUAAUGUGAAUUGCAGAAUUCAGUGAAUCAUCGAAUCUUUGAACGCACCUUGCACCCUUUGGCAUUCUGAAGGGUAUGCUCGUUUGAGUGUCAUUGUACUCUCACACUCCCGAUCUUUGCAUUGGGAGCAGUGGACUUGGGUUUGCUGCUUCACCGUCGCUUACCUCAAAUAGGUUAGUGCAACUCUUGGUUGGACAUAGUACGGCGUGAUAAGUGUUCUUCGCCGGUGCCUCGCAAAGAGGGUGGCCGAUCGGGAUGUUGUGCUCCAAACCGUCUUCGGACAAUCUCUGACGACUUGACCUCAAAUCGAGUAAGACUACCCGCUGAAUUUAAGCAUAUCAAUAAGCGGAGGA